GGAGAAAGAGGAAGGGACGCUGUGCUCCGUGCUUCCCCUUGUUAUCCGUGUUAUCCACGUGUCCACCCUUGUUAUCCUCGUGCUGUAGCGGUGCCGUGGCGGGGGGUGUAGGCGUUGACAUCCGUGGCGCUGACUGACCACAUCAGGGUGUGCUGGCAGCCCCCCGCACAGCACAAUGUGAUGCUGUGCGGCUACACCAUUGCCUGGGACCGAGGCGUGGCGGACAUCUACUCCAAGAGCGUGGACAGCAAGCAGCGCGGUUACAUCAUUGAUAAGCUGGAACCCAACAUGGAGUUUGUGAUAAGCCUGCGAGCCUUCAACAACGUAGGUGACGGGCAACCGGUGUACCAGUAAGUCCGCACCCAGACAGAGGAGGAGGAGGUGGUGGCACCCACGCUGGACCCGGCGGUGGGGGUGAAGGCCGUGGUGCUGACACCCUUCACCGUGGUGCUGCAGUGGCCGGACACCAUGCUGAGCCAGAACCAGUACAACAGCUGCACUACCUUCUCGUCCUAAUCCUCCAGCCGCUACGUCAACGCCACGGAUGUGACCUGCCUCAUUGACAGCCUCAAGCCAUCAACAGUGUGUGAGUUUGCUGUGAAGACCAUCAGGGUGAGACCACAGUGCUGGAAGCCUUCGUUCUUCUUUCAGUAAAUAUUCACUCAGUCCUGCAACACUUCUCAAGGAAAUCCUGCACAGCUGAAUCCUUGCUGUGAUGAGGCACAGAGAAAUUAUGACUCAUAGGGUUUGGCGUGAGUCCCCCUAUAGCCUGGUGGCCCAGCCGUCCUGGCCCUCCCUGGCCAGCCGUCCACCACCACCUUCACCCAGCAGCCGUCCACCACCACCUUCACCCAGCAGCCGUCCACCACCACCUUCACCCAGCAGCCGUCCACCACCACCUUCACCCGGCAGCCGCUGCAGCGGAACAACGGGAGGAUCACAGGCUACUUGAUAUUCCUCACCACGGACCAAACUGUCAGUGACUGGGUGACGGGGGAAGUGACGGGGGACUGGCUCACCCUCUCUGUCCAUGGACUGACGCCUUCAAGGAAGUAUUUGCACAAGAUGCACACUCACAAUGUCAAAGGUUUUGGUCCAUUCUCCUCCGUGGAAAGCUUCACGACUCUUCCAGCUGUUGACAAGAGCAUCGGUGAGCCCCCAGGCUGGUGUGUGGAGCGAGAGGCCUGAUUGUGCUGGUGAUCGCUGGCGUGGCAGGAGCCAUGACCAGCUGGGGGCCUUCUUGGCCACCACACUGUACUGCCGCGGGUCAAGGCGGAGCCCAGGCCAAGCAUUGUGUAAGGUGGCAGGACAGUUUCUUGUUGGUGUGUUUCAUCCCAUGACUCAUUUCAGCAAUCCUUUACACUGACUGCAGGAACUUUUUAUUCACUUUGUAAUAUGGAGAACAAGGCUGCAGGGCAUAGUCCACAAAGACUUAAGUUUGCCAAGAUUAGAGGAAGAAAAAGAAAGGUAAACUUGUUCUUAGGAAAUGUUCAAGAUGGACUUUCAUUUUGUGCUAUACAUAGUUGCAGGGUAACAAGUGACCUCUGUUUGUGAUAUCUGUGUCUCUUGGUGGAGCAGCUAACACGUGUUUCUAACUUGUGAUUGCUUGCAGUGUGCUGGCUGGGAGCUAUUUCUUUAAAUGAAUUCAAAUAUGCUUUGUUGAACUCAAACCUCAUGCCUUUAACAUCCAUCCUGUUUUGAAGAUUUCAUACUCACAGAUACUCACAGAUGACUUCUGGAAGA
Molecule: long non-coding RNA, 1743 nt
Organism: Eriocheir sinensis (Chinese mitten crab)
Lineage: Eukaryota; Metazoa; Arthropoda; Malacostraca; Decapoda; Varunidae
Exons: 7
Source: RefSeq, a predicted model, not a curated record